CUAUUUACCAACUGCCACCAUUGAGAUAGGGUACACCCAAGAACCCAAGAAAUAUCAGUGUGCCCCUUCCCCUCAGAAGGCUAAGCUCUUAGUCUGGCCCCUUCAGUCAUCUUCAAGAAAGCAACCCCAAUGGAGAAGGGACCUAUCACCCAUAUGAACUCUAUACCCUGGACAGGGAAACUAGCCCAGCUGAAGCAACAUAACCUCCUAAGGGAGAGAUAGGAGGUGGUAUAUGCCAACUUCAGAUGGCUAUUGGAGAAGUGAAGUGUGACAGCAGGAGUCUGUGUGUCUGCAAUUUUCAAGGCGCCUCAGUGCGGCUCCUGAAUGAGACGUGGAAAAUGAAAACCGUGCGCAGUGUCGCAGGAACAAUGGAGGAAAACUGAGGAAGACAACCCCCUUCUCCUCACCAAAACACCUAAAACUGGGCUUUCCAGGUUUUGAAAAGCAAUGUGAUACAGAGCUGUACACAUGUCAGCAGCGGUAAGCUGCUUAGCUUUAAGAAAAAUAGGUCCUAAAAAUCAAAGGCAAAAGUAAAUCCAUCCUCUUAUCAUCUCAACUGUCCUGAAGCACUUAUGCUUUAACUCUGGGAAGGUUUUUGGAUAUUGAAGUCGCCAUCAAAGGACUCUGGAUAAGUGUUCCUGCAGUGAUCAAAGCCAGGGAUACCCCGUUCUCACCCAGUCCAGGGGGAAACCUGUACUUAUUAAAA
This 706-nucleotide long non-coding RNA is filed under the name Monodelphis domestica (gray short-tailed opossum). RNAcentral's name for it is "lncRNA (ENSMODG00000039868.1)". Lineage: Eukaryota; Metazoa; Chordata; Mammalia; Didelphimorphia; Didelphidae. The record is from RNAcentral.